AGUGGGGAAUAUUGCACAAUGGGCGAAAGCCUGAUGCAGCCAUGCCGCGUGUAUGAAGAAGGCCUUCGGGUUGUAAAGUACUUUCAGCAGUGAGGAAGGGUAUGUAGUUAAUAGCUGCAUAUCUUGACGUUAGCUGCAGAAGAAGCACCGGCUAACUCCGUGCCAGCAGCCGCGGUAAUACGGAGGGUGCGAGCGUUAAUCGGAAUUACUGGGCGUAAAGCGCAUGCAGGUGGUUUGUUAAGUCAGAUGUGAAAGCCCGGGGCUCAACCUCGGAAUUGCAUUUGAAACUGGCAGGCUAGAGUACUGUAGAGGGGGGUAGAAUUUCAGGUGUAGCGGUGAAAUGCGUAGAGAUCUGAAGGAAUACCAGUGGCGAAGGCGGCCCCCUGGACAGAUACUGACACUCAGAUGCGAAAGCGUGGGGAGCAAA
This 427-nucleotide ribosomal RNA is filed under the name uncultured Vibrio sp. RNAcentral's name for it is "bacterial SSU rRNA". It matches the Rfam family "Bacterial small subunit ribosomal RNA", at positions 353 to 772 of the family's 1533-position model. The record is from RNAcentral. Lineage: Bacteria; Pseudomonadati; Pseudomonadota; Gammaproteobacteria; Vibrionales; Vibrionaceae.